This is a long non-coding RNA of Teleopsis dalmanni, 1425 nucleotides long. RefSeq lists it as uncharacterized. The record is from RefSeq and is a predicted model, not a curated record. NCBI's taxonomy places the organism in Eukaryota, Metazoa, Arthropoda, Insecta, Diptera, Diopsidae. The transcript is spliced from 4 exons.
UAACACAUUUGAUGUGUUUAAAUGGAUAGCUGUUGGCAAUCCUAAAUGAAAGUUUUUUGACAGCGAUUUCAUUUGUUGAAAUGUUUUUGCAAUGAGAGAGUAUCAGCAAAUUGCAGUGCACAAGCCGGUUGUUAAUCGUUUUAAAAACAUUCUUAUUUAAUUAUAAUUUCUAAUGAUAACAAUUGUAAUAAAUUACUGAUGUUGUGAAGCUAAAAUUUUUGGUGUUUUUUCAUUAAAAUAAAUUAAUCGAAAAUUGUCUUCACGCAAUGUCAGAAACAAAUAUAAAAAAUGAUUUGACGGUUGCUCUAACGGGACUUCAGUCCAUAAGGACACGAGGUCUGCAUAAACUGUUCAGUCAUAAAAUAAGUUAAACAAACAGGAACAAAAUUACUAAAUUACGCUACUUCUAGUAAUUGGAAAAUGGAAAAAAGAAGUGAGAACGUGUUUUUGUAUGAUUCUUAAAAUAUUUGGCAUUAGUGUUUCACAUUAAAAAUAUAUUUAUUAUUGCCAACAAAUAAUGACUCCGUUGGACCUCAAAUGCAUAAGUAUAAACCACGCAAUAAAAAUGGGGACAAUAAUCAAAAUAGUUUGUCUUAAGUCAAAGGCAUUGAAAUUUCAAUGAUGGAAUGCGAUUUUGAAUUUUAUUAAUGUUUCCUUCCAAUUAUUGCAUUCCUCACCGUUUCAGCACUGGAGAAUAAAAAUUUGAUUAUAAAGAAAAUGAAUUAAAAAUAACUUCUCUGCAGUUACAAUAACCCAGGAAUUCCCCAAAAACACAAAUAAAGUAUUUUUGGAAAGACUAUGCCAAUAUUCGAUGUCAGGACAUUUCACAUGUCGAACUGCUGAAUAAUGAAACAUUGAAGAUUUGUUAAUUAAAGAUGAUUCCUGGUGAAAAUUGACGAUUAAAAUGAUUACACUUAAAUUACUGCAAAUAUAACCAGAUUGUAGUUAUAAUUUAAAUAUUAAAGACGAAGAUGACGGUUGUGAAUAACUUCAUGCUAAUUAUCAGUAGCAAGUUAAUGUGUAGCAUAUGCUAUUAACUUGUAUUUUAUACUUAUUAAAAAUAAUGUAUCUCUGCAGACAAGCUGCUCUAUAUUGUUAUCAUGUGGUGAUGCUUUAAAGCAAUGUGUAACUUUGAUAUACAUUAUGAAAUCAUACUAUGAUCAAAAAACAAAUACUGAAUUUAGUACUACGAAUUUAUUUCUCCAUAAGUCUCAUCUGCCGUAAUAUUUAAACAUUCCAGUCUUAAAGAAUGUUUAUAUGUGUUCCUGUUUAAAAGAUAUUGUUAUCUACUUACCAAGCAACAGAUAAGACACAUUAGUUUUUUUGGAAUAAUUAUUAAACUCAGUAUAAAAAAAAUGAUUGAAUGCAACAACAACAUAAUCUUCAAAACAACAACAAAAACUUAAGCAAGUCAUCAAAGCUAAG